Long non-coding RNA from Pseudophryne corroboree (corroboree frog), 410 nucleotides. RefSeq lists it as uncharacterized. Lineage: Eukaryota; Metazoa; Chordata; Amphibia; Anura; Myobatrachidae. The transcript is spliced from 4 exons. The record is from RefSeq and is a predicted model, not a curated record.
AGCAAGCAUGUAAACAGAACUACUGUAUGUUUUGCUAUUAAAAAGACCUAUUUCCGUCCUUUGCUUUCACAGAGAACUUGUGAAAUAUGGAUUUUUUGGUGGAGUUGACUGAUGCACUUUCAAUGGAAUGAAGUGGGCAGCAUUGGAGAAUCUAUCCAGCAGGAGCUGUGGGAAAGAUGCUAGUUUGAACAGCUUGGCCGAACAGAGUUAUCUUAGAAGGGUUGUUUUAAAAGGAUUAAGAAAAUAUUACGACAUAGACUUACCCAGGACUUACAUAGUGGCUAUAUCUGCACCAUAUAUUGAAGGGCUGUGCUGGAAUGUGACGAUUGCUCUCCUUUCUUUGCAGAUGUUGCCACCACCAAGUGUGGGAGUCUGGAGGAAUAUCAGGAGGAUGUAGCUGUGAAAAUGCA